CAGAGAUAAAAAAAAGGGAGAAAAUGAAGGAAUACAAGGAAUGAGAUGACUCAGAUGAGGCAUCAGGCAUAUAUAAGAUUCUGGUCCGCUGCAUUUACCAUAUAUGCAGUUUUUUCUGCAUUUUAAAGCAAGUCUGAUCCGUCCAACCAGUCAAAUGAAAUUGUAUAUUAUUCCAUAUCAACAUCAGCUUUAAAAGGAAAACAAAACUAAUAUGGAAGGAAUGAUCGAACAGUCGACGAAGAAGAAAAAGGAGGAAAUCUGAUAUAAAAAGGGGUGCUAAAUUAAUUUUGAUUCUAGUUCGCCAGUUAUAGCAAUCUGAGCAUGCAGUUCUUCCAAAUCAGAAAAAUGCACCCACAUUUAUAUAUAGAGACUUCAUUGGAUUCUAUGGCACAUCCAAUUAACCUAUUAAUUGGCAGAAUAAUACGUACAAUUAAUGAAGAAAUUCUAUGGUGAAAAAAAUAUCAAUAAACUCCAUUCAUAUGAUUAUUCUCUUCGUAAUAGCAUUUACAAACAUUAUUAAUUAUAUGGUACACAACAAUAUAUAGGAUAAAUUGAUAAAAGACGAAGGCCUCUAGAGAAAACCCUAGAGAGAAACCUCCCAAGAGGCUCCUCCUACCCUUUCAUCGUUUUUUAGACGAACGAUAGCAGUUUAAUUAUAAUAUUAAAAAUUUAUACAAAUAGAGGACAUUCUAGAUACCACUUUGUCUACUUUUUUUUUUUUUUUUAAAUUUCUCUUACUUUAUUCUUACACUCAAUUUGAAGGACGUCGUUGUGAUUUGCACAAAGUACUUUGGGCGAACUUUGUCUAGUGAUGACUCUUAGUGGUUAUAAUGCAACUAUUAUCCACUACAUAUUAUGUGCUGUUGGAUAAUUGGAGGUUGAUUUGUCCUCAAAUAUCCUUUGUGUUAUAGUAUGUUUUUCUUGGCUAAUGCGGUGAGAUCUGCAACAGCACGAUUUUGACUCAUGGCGGUAGUUAUGAUUUAGGGUUUUGAUUGUUUUGGACUAUUGCGUUGUUUGUGUGAAUUUUGUCCGCUCCAGUUUAGUCAUUUGAGGUUGUUAUUUGUCAAUUAUAUUGAGAUUUGUGUCAAAUGUAGAUCUUUAAUUCAUUGUUAAAGUUGUAAUAUAUAGGUGCUAUAAGUAAUAACAGGGAAACCACAUGCUUAUAGAAUAACUUUUUAUUUCUCGCUUAUUGUGAUACGAAGAGUUUAAUGUCGUCGUUGAAUUAGUUGGGUGGCUAAGAUUGUUUUAAAUACAGAAACCACUCCCUUGUUGUAAUUGUAGAGGAAAAUUAACUUUAAUUAAUUAAAUCCCAUGCAGGAGGGCGACCAGGAUAGUGGUUUGAAGAUUUGAAGGCGCUGCCAAAGGGUUAGGAGCCGCGUUUAUACCGAAGGACGUGAAUCAAGUUAAACAAUUGAACUUAGCACUGAGUCUGAGAUGAACGGCUACAUAUAUAAUUAAUUUAUAUACUAUAUAGUCUAGUCCUCUCAUUCUCUGUGGAUAAAUAUUUGCAUGUAAUAGUUUGUCGUGGUUGUAGCGUUUCGAAAAACUAUUACUAUAAAGUUACAUGCAAGAAUCUUUCGAUAUAAGUUUAUACUAGCGAUCCACCUAAAACGUUACGAAUAAUAUAUAGUGAAUGCGUUCCGUAAGAGUCUCUCCAUGUGUGUGUGAUAUAAGUACGUACGUAAGCAAUGCACUUAAAUUCGGUAUUGAGAGCAGCCGGUCAUGACUUUGGUAGUACGAUUCCGUUUACUAGGUGAAGUGUGAAAAUUUUGUACUUUGUGAUCUGUU
This 1788-nucleotide long non-coding RNA is filed under the name Malus domestica (apple). RNAcentral's name for it is "long non-coding RNA (MDOM_LNC005170)". Lineage: Eukaryota; Viridiplantae; Streptophyta; Magnoliopsida; Rosales; Rosaceae. The record is from RNAcentral.